Paramuricea clavata is the source of this 310-nucleotide non-coding RNA. Lineage: Eukaryota; Metazoa; Cnidaria; Anthozoa; Malacalcyonacea; Plexauridae. The record is from the annotation of a GenBank genome assembly.
AUGUCUAGCCUGCGAACAGGCUCUCAAGCCGAAUUGAGAGCCUGCAUCGAUGACUAAUGAAUUUGAAUAUCUGCCCCGUAACGUUCGUUUUUCCAAAUAUGGAAUGUCUAUCCUUAUAUGGUGUUGUUUACAACUUUCGUGCAAACUAAAUUUAGACCGUGGAAACUAAAUUUAGGCAUAGUACAAAACAUGGACUGGACUGGACUGGACAGUUGGACUGGACUGGACAGUUGGACUGGACUGUUGGACUGGACUGUUGGACUGGACUGAUUUUUACAUUUUCUCUAUUCUUGACUUGCACGUCACCCGC